Kogia breviceps (pygmy sperm whale) is the source of this 1333-nucleotide long non-coding RNA. RefSeq lists it as uncharacterized. NCBI's taxonomy places the organism in Eukaryota, Metazoa, Chordata, Mammalia, Artiodactyla, Physeteridae. The record is from RefSeq and is a predicted model, not a curated record.
UUGUGAUUCUAAUAUUAAUGGAGAUAACACAUAACAUCUCUUGUUUUACUUUUUCUAUGUACACAAGAAAACUUGGAAUUGAAAAUAUAUUGGAAUGUGUUUAGGAGAACAGUCAUUUGAUUUAAACACGGUCUAAACCUAUGCUUCACACAGUCAAGUUUAGCUCGUGACAAGAGAAGAAUGGAGACUGGAUUCUUUGCUGGGCUUAAGUAACCUGAGAUUGUCUGACGGGGACUUCCAUUAGCCCCGUGUUCACUAAAGCUCGCCCCACCAUCAGCAAUGGUUUGCACCUUGCCUCGGUGUCUUCAUGGAUUCCAGGUGAGAGGCUCAGCCUGUGCCCCGUGCGUGGUGUGGGCUCUUCAUCAGUCACGUGUGUCAACCACACAAGCACAUUUCAGUGCCGCCUUCCCUCUUGUAGUAAUUGUCAUUAUGUAAACAAUCUAAUCGGAGUGCUAAUACAUGUAAUUUCACUGAACUGACAGUAAUGAAUCUUGAGUGUGCUGUUCCACAGACUUGCUUCUUUCCCAGGUGAGGCGUGGCAGCGAUGAGCACGCCUUCUGUGGCCACGCAGAGUCCACGGGUUUUCCAAGUCUUCAGAGGAGCACUUCAGUUUUCAGAAAUGGAAUGGUUCCUCUUUUUCCUGUUUCCUCAAUAUUUUCCUAAAAGACACAAACUUACAGAAGUUGUUUCUGAAAGUGGAGCUGACUGGAAAAGUACCCAAUUUUGUUUCUAAAUAUAUAUUUGUAGAAUCUUCCAAAGCCAGUCCGUCAGAGACAGGGGAUUCCAUCUCAAUCUACCUUGAAAGGCGAUUGAAUUAAACAAGCAUUUGUACUUUGUUCCAGACUCUAUGACUUUGAACAUUAAGCACUCACCCAGCCACUUUCCCUGGAGAGGUAAAGCUGCAUCAGGCAUGAAUCCAGUUCUCAAGGAGCUCACUGCCAAGCUCAGCAGGUGAGACAGAGAAUGAGGGGGAAAGGCAUUGGUGCACAAGAACAAGAACCACGGGACCAGUAACUGGGGUCUUGUCCUGAGAGGCUGUGAGAAUCACUCCACUGCUUUUUCUUCAGGGUAACUUCAUCUCCCCACAUCAUGAUGUACUGUAAGGAUUGUGGGAAAUGCUUUGCCCCCUUUGGAUGAAAGGUGUAUUAUAUAAGGUCUGUAAAAGUAUUUUGGAUAUGUUUAGAAAAAAAUAAGUGAUAACAAUGAUAAUAAUAUCUAGCAUUUAUUGAAUGCUUAUUAUACGCCUGGCAUUAAACUAAAGAUGGGAAUACGGCUUUAAUCUGUAACUCUAUUUUAUAUCCGUUGAGCCCCAAAUUAUCAAAAUAUUUCUUUC